GUGGGGAAUAUUGGACAAUGGGCGAAAGCCUGAUCCAGCCAUGCCGCGUGUGUGAGGAAGGUCUUCGGAUUGUAAAGCACUUUAAGUUGGGAGGAAGGGCAGUAAGUUAAUACCUUGCUGUUUUGACGUUACCGACAGAAUAAGCACCGGCUAACUUCGUGCCAGCAGCCGCGGUAAUACGAAGGGUGCAAGCGUUAAUCGGAAUUACUGGGCGUAAAGCGCGCGUAGGUGGUUUUGUAAGUUGGAGGUGAAAUCCCCGGGCUCAACCUGGGAACUGCCUCCAAAACUGCAUGACUAGAGUACGGUAGAGGGUAGUGGAAUUUCCUGUGUAGCGGUGAAAUGCGUAGAUAUAGGAAGGAACACCAGUGGCGAAGGCGACUACCUGGACUGAUACUGACACUGAGGUGCGAAAGCGUGGGGAGCAAACAGGAUUAGAUACCCGAGUAGUCC
This 450-nucleotide ribosomal RNA is filed under the name uncultured bacterium. RNAcentral's name for it is "bacterial SSU rRNA". It matches the Rfam family "Bacterial small subunit ribosomal RNA", at positions 354 to 796 of the family's 1533-position model. The record is from RNAcentral.